RNAcentral lists this small nucleolar RNA (98 nucleotides) under Fusarium vanettenii 77-13-4. RNAcentral's name for it is "small nucleolar RNA R38". The record is from RNAcentral. Lineage: Eukaryota; Fungi; Ascomycota; Sordariomycetes; Hypocreales; Nectriaceae.
UUGCGAAUGAUGACCUAGCCUUAUUAUACAGUUAUCCCUAUCUGAGAUUUCUUCCUCAGAAGACAUUGUGUGGAUACCGUCUAACUUCUGACUUGCAA